Long non-coding RNA from Mustela putorius furo (domestic ferret), 4140 nucleotides. NCBI's taxonomy places the organism in Eukaryota, Metazoa, Chordata, Mammalia, Carnivora, Mustelidae. The record is from Ensembl.
GGCAGAGAGGCAGGCACGGGGUUGGGGGGGGCACAGGCUCCCUGCUGAGCAGAGAGCCUGACAGGGGACUUGAUCCCAAGACCCUGAGAUUAUGACCUGAGCUGAAAGUAGAGGCUUAACCCACUGAGCCACCCAGGUGCCCCAAUAAACUAAGUCUUAAAAGAAAAUAUAAAUCUUACAUGUUGCUUUCAGUUUGAAUAGUGUUUUGUAAAUGCUAAAGCAUGCAAAUGUAAAUGAUUAUUAUGUUAUUUUGAAGGUGGUACACUCUUGAACUGUACCUUUACAAAGUUAUUCCAGUGUUUGCUUUUAAUGUUCUUGGACAACCGGGGUCAUUACUGAAAUUUUUUGAUUCUGUAUUUUUAUACUCCGUGAUUCACGGUUUAUCAGUUUUCUGAUUCUUACAACCGUCUUCUUCAAAUUCAGCUCUGAUGAACACACACCAGUGGAGGACGAUGAGCCGAAGAAAAGCACCAGUUCAGCUUCUACUUCAGAAGAAGAAAAGAAGAAGAAGAAGAAGUCUAAUCGUUCAAAAGAGAGGUCCAAGAAAAAGAGAAAGAAGAAAUCCUCUAAAAGAAAACACAAGAAGUACUCUGAUGACAGCGACAGUGACUCGGACUCUGACUCAGACUCCAGUGGUAAGAAGGCCGGCAUCGCUCUGCAAGCCUGGCUUCAAAACUCAUUUUACUUCGUAGAACUGAUUUCAGAGGAAGGUUAAGGACAGUAGCCGAGAGGUGCUGAGCGCUGGCCGUCUCGGUGCCAGGAGCCCCGCUAAGCGCUGGGUGUUCUCAGUGCUGUUCAGUCCACACGUGGCUCCAGACUACGUCUUAGAGAUGGGGAAACAGGGCGCAGAGCCGGUUGUGACACUGCACUCAGGCUCACACAGCUGAGAUCCAGACCCGAGCGCUGUGACCCCAGAUGGGUGUUGUCCAGCCGUACGGGGCACGUCGUGGCGGCAAACCGAACCGAGGCGGGGUCAGGCCGGGAGACGUGCGGCAGCAGAGCCAGCCCCAUGGGGCUGCUUCAGGCCUGGGGAGCAGCUCUCUUGUGUCGUCCUCACACUCAGCGGGCACCUCUGUGCCAUUUUCCAAAAGUGACACCGCAGAGGACCCCAUGCUGGCUGGCAGCUGAUUUAUGGAGGACACCCCUCCCCCCAGUGGCGUGGUGCCUCACAGAAAGCCACCUUUUGUGCCUUCUCCUGGCUGAUGAUUGACAGGAUGAUUGACCCCCUGCCUCUGGGGACAUUGCAUAAAGGUGUCUUUUCCCCUCAUGUCACUGGGGUUUCCUGGCUCCUGUUGUUGCUUUUCUUCCUCACUGCUGGAAGAGUAAACUACCUUUUUUUUAAAAUAAAGAUUUAUUUAUUUUGGAGAGCGUGUGCAGGUGUGCAGGUGGGAGGGAGGGGCAGACGGAGAGAAUCUGGAGCUGACCUCCCCACUGACCAUGGAGCCUGACAACAGGGCUGGAUCCCGCAGCCCAUGAAAUCGUGACCUGAGCUGAAAUGAAGAAGCAGCCGCUUAGCUGACGGGGCCACCCAGGUGCCCCUGAUGAACUUUCUGAGAGCACAGAUGUGAGCACAUCUGUCCCCUACUUAAAAGUCCUUCGGCAGCUCUCUGUCGUGUUCAGGGUGAAGUUCGGACCCUGACUGAUCCCUCUCUGAUCGCACAUGCCCUCUCUCUCUUGCAGCAUCCUCUUAGCCCGAGAACGACUGUCUCCUCAGUCUUCCAUGUUCUUUCUCUUGCUUCUGUGACUUGAUACAGAGUCCAUCUGCCUGCAGCGCCAGUCUCUCCCUGCAUACGGCUUGGCUUACUCUCUUCAACAGUGGGCAUGCAGUACUUUGGUAACAAAACUGAUUUUGUUUUAUUUUUACUUUUUGAAAAAAUUUUAUUUAUUUAUUUGACUGAGAGAGCAUGCAAACAGGGGGAGCAGCAGGCAGAGGGAGAAGCAGGCUCCUCGCUGAGCAGGGGGCCCAACAUGGAGCUCAAUUCCAGAACUCUGGGAUCAGGACCUGAGCCAAAGGCUGACACUUAACAAACUGAGCCACCCAGGUGCCCCAAAAGAAAUGAUUUUUUUUUAAGAUUUUAGUUAUUUGACAGAGAGAGUGAGUGAGCAUGAGCAGGGGGAGCAGCAGGCAGAGGCAGAGGGAGAAGCAGGCUCCCAACUAAGUAGGGGAACCCGAUGUAGGGCUCAAUCCCAGGACCCCAGGAUCAUGACCUGAGCUGAAGGCAGACACUUAACUGACCGACUGAGUCACCUAGGUGCCCUAGUAAGAUUGAUUUGUAAAAGAACUAGCUUAACAGUUACCAUUCCUGAAGCACCCUUCCCAAGCAAGCUGGCCUGAUUAUGAGACUUCUCUGUACGCCUAGAGUACCCCCAUGCUUCCCUGUAUCACUCCAGAUUCCGAUUAUUUCUUUACCUCUGUCUCCUCUAUUAGACUGAGUGUCCCUGACCCCAAACACAUAAGGUAUUUUUCUUUUCAUUAUGAAAAUACUCGGGAAAGCAAAGGGGAUAGUAUAAGUAAUACCAUAUACUUACCACUCGGGUUAGACAUUUGUUAGCAUUUUGACAUAGUUGUUUCAAAUAUGAGUUUUUUGCUAAGGUAGCCAAAGUAAAUUAUAAAUAUACAUUGAUGCUAAAUAUCUCUAUAUGCAGGUCUUUAAAAAAAAAAAAGACAUCUUCCUACUUAACUACAAUACCAUUAUCUCACCCAGUAGAUUAGCCCUGGGUGUUCUGGGCCACAGGGACACCAGAAUAACCCAUCUCCAUUUGGGUUCCAGGACACAAAUGACAUUAUAGGGUCCAUCUGAGAUUAUGAUGACAGCAUGACCCACGGCGAUGGGAGUCGUAUUUCUGAGAAUUAAGACUUUCUGAUGUCUCCAACACUUGGCCCUCCUAUUCUUAAACUAAACCUUCAGUUAGAAAAGAGGGAUUUGUUUGGUAUAUUGAAUAGUUAAUGUCUUAAUAGAAAAACACAGCAUACCAAUUUAUAUGCUAUUGAGAUUUUAAACCACAAUGGAGGAGAAGCUUUUUCAUUGUUGCUGAAAUAUCUUAGGAAAGUUCAUACUGCACUCCCUCCAUUCAGCUCACCCUUAGUGAGCGUGAACUAUGUGCCAAGCUCUGGUCUAGGCCUAUUGCUUUGUUUUUAUUCUCCCACUUUUAAUGUUCUUUUUUUUUAAAAGGUUUUAUUUAUUCAUUUGACAGAGAGAGAGAGAGAGGGAACACAAGCAGGGGGAGUGGGAGAAUGAGAUGUUCCCUUUUGAACAUCUCAUUAAGGAUGAGAUGUUUUCCUAUCUUAGGUUUCCUAUAUUAGGAAAAGAUGUUUCCCUAUCUUUUUAAAAUUUAAAUUCAAUUUAAUUAACAUACAGUGUAUUGCUAGUUUCAGAGGUAGGUUUAGUGACUCAUGACUUACACGCAACGCCCAGUGCUCGUUCCAUCAAGUGUCCUUACUGCCCCUCACCCAGUUACCCCGUCGCACUCCAUCUCCCCUGCCGGCAGCCCUCAGUUUAUUCUGUGGUUAAGAGUCUCUUGUGAUCUGUCUCCCUCUCUGUACUCCUAUACUUAUUUUUAUUUUUCCUUCCCUUCCCCAAUGUUCAUCUGUUUUGCUCUUUAAAUUACACAUAAGAGUGAAAUCAUAUGGUAUUUGUCUUUUUCUGAUUGACUUAUUUUAAUUAGCAUAAUACCUUCUAGUUUCAUCCAUGUCACUUGAAAUGGCAAGAUUUCAUUCUUCUUGCUGGUUGAAGUCAUACUCUGUUGUAUGUGUAUGCCACAUUUUCUUUCUCCAUUCGUCAGUGGACAUCUGGGCUCUUUUCGUAUUGUGGCUAUUAUGGACAUUGCUGCUAUAAACAUUGGGGUGCAGGUGCCCCUUCGGAUCACUGCAUUUGUAUUUUUGGGGAAAAUACCCAGUAGUGCGAUUGCUGAAUUGUAAUGUAGCUCUAUUUUUAACUUUGUGAGGAGCCUCCAUGCUGUUUUCCAGAGAGGCUGCACCAGCUUGCAUUCCCACCAACAGUGUAGGAGGGUUCCCCUCUCUCCACAUCCUCUCCAACAUCUGUCGUUUCCUGACUUGUUAAUUUUAGCCAUUCUGACUAGUGUGAGGUGGUAUCUCAUUGUGGGUUUGAUUUGUAUUUCCCUGAUGCCAAAUGAUGUUGA